CACACACACACUAGUUAUUUAAGCUAGCAUUUCUCCCUUAGCUAUCAAAUGGUUUUCAAGAGUGGAAAAAUAUCUUUUUCACUUUUUUUUAAGGCAUGGAAAAAUAUUUUUAUUGAAAUACAUUUGACAUAUAACAUUGCGUAAAUUUUUACAACACUGCAUAAAUUUAAGGUGUACACGUUAAUUUGAUACACUUAGGUAUUAUAAUACGAUUUCCAUUUAGCAAGAAUUAGCACCUCUAUUGCAUUACAUAAUCCUAAUUCCUUUUUAGUGGCUGGAAUAAUUAAGCUCUAGUCUCUUCUUAGCAUGUUUGGUGAUCAUAAUACGAUAUUGUUACCUAUAGGUGCACAAAACAUUUUAAGUAAAGACGAGGCUACCAGGAUGGUUUCCGUUUUCUUCUUUAUUGUUACCUGAACUCCUAAAAUAUGUGUGCCUUUCUAGAGACUUGAAUCACAAUCUUAAGACUUUUAAAGCUAGAAAGGUCUUCGUCCGGUCCGGCCUCCUUGCCAAAGGAGGAAAGUGAGUCCCAGAGCAGUUAGGUAGCGUGUGCCCAAGGUCAUGAAGCAGGAGCAUACUGCUGCUGGAGAGCAAAUCAAAGAGAUAUUUAAAAACCCACUAAACAUAAACAUGCAAGCCCAUAUCACGUAAUUUCUCUGGAAUAAGUCUGUGAUAAGGAUCACAUUUCCCUUUAUGUUUUUCCAACAACAGCUCAUGAUACAAUUUGUACGGCUCCUGGUAACUUUUACUGGGGAAAAUUUGGGGGAAAAAAAAAAAACAACAACAAAAGUACCAUGUUUCAAAAGGAACCAGAUCUGAUAAGGCGGCAGAAAUAUUUACUCCAUUAUUUCAAGAGGCAGGUUCUUUGUUUCUCAGACGCUUCCUGUUUUAAAAAUAGCUUUCCACAACUGUUCCAGGACUAGGAUGUCCUUUUAAAUGAAACGGGCUUUGAAGAUGCAAUUUCAUUUCAGUGGCAGAUAAUCGGCCAGCCUUUUGCAGGAGGCGGCUCGGACCGGGUCUCCUGGACCCUUGGGUGCCGGUCCCGCGGCAGCCGGGGCUGGGUGGCUGGACGGUGAGGAGGUGGGGAAGCAGCCAGCACAGGUGGGAGCCUGAACAGAGCGGGGCACCUGCUAAGGGGACAAAGGCUUCCAGCCAUCGGGCGGCACAUCAGUGAUGUUGCGAAAUCAAAGGCGCUGCCGUUCACAUGCAGGAUGUGAUUGGAUGGAGGGAGGGUAUGACCCUUAGCUUUAGGCGUGAUCGUGGCCUGGUGGCUGCGUGAGAAGGCGCCCACCUUUCUGAGCGACGCGUACUUGGAUGGGGAAGGACGAAAUGAUGCCGUGGCCGAACUGCCUUGAAGCCUGGCUGCAAAGGGAUCGGACACCGGGCGACGCGUGCAGUGGAGACGUAAAAAAGCAACGGGGCAAGAAGAAACAAACCUUUUCCGAGACCGGCAAAAUGCUGAGCCACCGGCGCUUUGGGGCUUUGAGGCUCCGGGCAAAUGACUACAAGACGCGGAGCCUCAGUUUUCCCACCAGGAAAAUGCACGGUCGCCUUGCCUCGCCUGCCAGGUGGCUCUGAGGCUGAAACAAAAUGCUGGAAGCUGAAUCAUUGCAAACACGGAGAGGGUUUCACCUCAUGCCCACGUGCAGAGCUGUGACCACCUUGGGGAGCAGCGACACGGUGACUGCCACCUGAGGGGAGGAAGCCUGAGGAAUCGCCUCCAGCCACAUUCUGGAAGCUGCUGGCUCUUCCAGAGAGGAUGGGGGGCACGCCCCUCAGAGGUCAGGAAGCCCACAGGCUUCGUGCGAGGCCCCAGACCCACGUCACUGCCAAGGACAGAGAAGCCAGGCGGUCUCCUGGGCACCAGGGAAUCCCACACCCUCCAGGACCCCGGGGGCCCCUCGUCCGUAACCUGGAAAAGGGAGAUUUAAUUUCCCAAUAUUGGUUCAUUAGUUCUAACAAAUGUACCAUUAUGAGUACAAGAGGUUAAAAACAGGGGAGUUUGUUAGGGGUUUAUGGGAAUCCCUUUGCAUUAUCUUUGUGAUUUUUCUGCAAAUCUGAAACUGGGUCUAAGAAGUAAAGUUUACUAAAGCGUAAGAACAAGCAAAUAAAUACGUCUGUUAGAAUGAU
Long non-coding RNA from Felis catus (domestic cat), 2127 nucleotides. RefSeq lists it as uncharacterized. The transcript has 2 exons. Lineage: Eukaryota; Metazoa; Chordata; Mammalia; Carnivora; Felidae. The record is from RefSeq and is a predicted model, not a curated record.